CCCUUAGACGUUCUGGGCCGUACGCGCGCUACACUGACAAAGGCAACGAGCUACUCUUCACCGAAAGGUGUGGGUAAUCUUUUGAAACUUUGUCGUGCUGGGGAUAGAUCCUUGCAAUUUUUGAUCUUAAACGAGGAAUUCCUAGUAAGCGCAAGUCAUCAACUUGCGUUGAUUACGUCCCUGCCCUUUGUACACACCGCCCGUCGCUACUACCGAUUGAAUGGUUUAGUGAGGCCUUCGGAUCCGCGACUCGUUUGUGGAGAAGUUGGACAAACUCAGUCAUUUAGAGGAAGUAAAAGUCGUAACA
This 307-nucleotide ribosomal RNA is filed under the name uncultured eukaryote. RNAcentral describes it as "partial 18S ribosomal RNA". It matches the Rfam family "Eukaryotic small subunit ribosomal RNA", at positions 1470 to 1796 of the family's 1831-position model. The record is from RNAcentral.